AACGAACGCUGGCGGCAUGCCUAACACAUGCAAGUCGAACGAGACCUUCGGGUCUAGUGGCGCAUGGGUGCGUAACGCGUGGGAACCUGCCCUUAGGUUCGGAAUAACUCUCCGAAAGGGGUGCUAAUACCGGAUAAUGUCUUCGGACCAAUGAUUUAUCGCAUUUGGAUGGGCACGCGUUGGAUAAGCUAGUUGGUAGGGUAAAAGCCUACCAAGGCGACGAUCCAUAAAUGGUCUGAGAGGAUGAUCAGCCACACUGGGACUGAGACACGGCCCAGACUCCUACGGAAGGCAGCAGUGGGGAAUAUUGCACAAUGGGCGAAAGCCUGAUCCAGCAAGGCCGCGUGAGUGAUGAAGGCCUUAGGGUUGUAAAGCUCUUUUACCCGGGAUGAUAUUGACGGUACCGGGAGAAUAAGCUCCGGCUAACUCCGUG
RNAcentral lists this ribosomal RNA (433 nucleotides) under uncultured bacterium. RNAcentral's name for it is "partial 16S ribosomal RNA". It matches the Rfam family "Bacterial small subunit ribosomal RNA", at positions 29 to 507 of the family's 1533-position model. The record is from RNAcentral.